Molecule: transfer RNA, 76 nt
Filed under: Agrococcus lahaulensis
Lineage: Bacteria; Bacillati; Actinomycetota; Actinomycetes; Micrococcales; Microbacteriaceae
Also listed under: 3 other names
Description: tRNA-Lys
Rfam family: tRNA
About the family: Transfer RNA (tRNA) molecules are approximately 80 nucleotides in length. Their secondary structure includes four short double-helical elements and three loops (D, anti-codon, and T loops).
Source: RNAcentral
GGGCCUGUAGCUCAGUCGGUAGAGCGUCGGACUUUUAAUCCGCUGGUCGUGGGUUCGAGCCCCACCGGGCCCACCA